AUUGAACGCUGGCGGCAGGCCUAACACAUGCAAGUCGAGCGGUAGCACAGAGAGCUUGCUCUCGGGUGACGAGCGGCGGACGGGUGAGUAAUGUCUGGGAAACUGCCUGAUGGAGGGGGAUAACUACUGGAAACGGUAGCUAAUACCGCAUAANGUCGCAAGACCAAAGUGGGGGACCUUCGGGCCUCAUGCCAUCAGAUGUGCCCAGAUGGGAUUAGCUAGUAGGUGGGGUAACGGCUCACCUAGGCGACGAUCCCUAGCUGGUCUGAGAGGAUGACCAGCCACACUGGAACUGAGACACGGUCCAGACUCCUACGGGAGGCAGCAGUGGGGAAUAUUGCACAAUGGGCGCAAGCCUGAUGCAGCCAUGCCGCGUGUGUGAAGAAGGCCUUCGGGUUGUAAAGCACUUUCAGCGGGGAGGAAGGCGAUNAGGUUAAUAACCUNNUCGAUUGACGUUACCCGCAGAAGAAGCACCGGCUAACUCCGUGCCAGCAGCCGCGGUAAUACGGAGGGUGCAAGCGUUAAUCGGAAUUACUGGGCGUAAAGCGCACGCAGGCGGUCUGUCAAGUCGGAUGUGAAAUCCCCGGGCUCAACCUGGGAACUGCAUUCGAAACUGGCAGGCUAGAGUCUUGUAGAGGGGGGUAGAAUUCCAGGUGUAGCGGUGAAAUGCGUAGAGAUCUGGAGGAAUACCGGUGGCGAAGGCGGCCCCCUGGACAAAGACUGACGCUCAGGUGCGAAAGCGUGGGGAGCAAACAGGAUUAGAUACCCUGGUAGUCCACGCCGUAAACGAUGUCGAUUUGGAGGUUGUGCCCUUGAGGCGUGGCUUCCGGAGCUAACGCGUUAAAUCGACCGCCUGGGGAGUACGGCCGCAAGGUUAAAACUCAAAUGAAUUGACGGGGGCCCGCACAAGCGGUGGAGCAUGUGGUUUAAUUCGAUGCAACGCGAAGAACCUUACCUGGUCUUGACAUCCACAGAACUUUCCAGAGAUGGAUUGGUGCCUUCGGGAACUGUGAGACAGGUGCUGCAUGGCUGUCGUCAGCUCGUGUUGUGAAAUGUUGGGUUAAGUCCCGCAACGAGCGCAACCCUUAUCCUUUGUUGCCAGCGGUUAGGCCGGGAACUCAAAGGAGACUGCCAGUGAUAAACUGGAGGAAGGUGGGGAUGACGUCAAGUCAUCAUGGCCCUUACGACCAGGGCUACACACGUGCUACAAUGGCAUAUACAAAGAGAAGCGACCUCGCGAGAGCAAGCGGACCUCAUAAAGUAUGUCGUAGUCCGGAUUGGAGUCUGCAACUCGACUCCAUGAAGUCGGAAUCGCUAGUAAUCGUAGAUCAGAAUGCUACGGUGAAUACGUUCCCGGGCCUUGUACACACCGCCCGUCACACCAUGGGAGUGGGUUGCAAAAGAAGUAGGUAGCUUAACCUUCGGGAGGGCGCUUACCACUUUGUGAUUCAUGACUGGGGUGAAG
RNAcentral lists this ribosomal RNA (1465 nucleotides) under Klebsiella pneumoniae. Its description in RNAcentral is "16S ribosomal RNA". It matches the Rfam family "Bacterial small subunit ribosomal RNA". Lineage: Bacteria; Pseudomonadati; Pseudomonadota; Gammaproteobacteria; Enterobacterales; Enterobacteriaceae. The record is from RNAcentral. RNAcentral also lists the same sequence under 2 other names.